GCGAACAUAAUAUAAUGGUUAUUAUAUUAGCCUUCCAAGCUAAGUAUGUGGGUUCGAUUCCCACUGUUCGCU
This 72-nucleotide transfer RNA is filed under the name endosymbiont of Euscepes postfasciatus. It matches the Rfam family "tRNA". Rfam says of the family: Transfer RNA (tRNA) molecules are approximately 80 nucleotides in length. Their secondary structure includes four short double-helical elements and three loops (D, anti-codon, and T loops). Lineage: Bacteria; Pseudomonadati; Pseudomonadota; Gammaproteobacteria. The record is from Rfam by way of RNAcentral.